This 301-nucleotide ribosomal RNA is filed under the name uncultured bacterium. RNAcentral's name for it is "partial 16S ribosomal RNA". It matches the Rfam family "Bacterial small subunit ribosomal RNA", at positions 509 to 808 of the family's 1533-position model. The record is from RNAcentral.
CAGUAGCCGCGGGAAUACGUAGGUCCCGAGCGUUGUCCGGAUUUAUUGGGCGUAAAGCGAGCGCAGGCGGUUAGGUAAGUCUGAAGUUAAAGGCUGUGGCUUAACCAUAGUACGCUUUGGAAACUGUUUAACUUGAGUGCAAGAGGGGAGAGUGGAAUUCCAUGUGUAGCGGUGAAAUGCGUAGAUAUAUGGAGGAACACCGGUGGCGAAAGCGGCUCUCUGGCUUGUAACUGACGCUGAGGCUCGAAAGCGUGGGGCGCAAACAGGAUUAGAUACCCCAGUAGUCCCUGUCUCUUAUACC